Erpetoichthys calabaricus (reedfish) is the source of this 849-nucleotide long non-coding RNA. RefSeq lists it as uncharacterized. The record is from RefSeq and is a predicted model, not a curated record. The transcript has 3 exons. Lineage: Eukaryota; Metazoa; Chordata; Cladistia; Polypteriformes; Polypteridae.
GAUUGUUUCCUGCCUUGUGCCCUGUGUUGGCUGGGAUUGGCUCCAGCAGACCCCCGUGACCCUGUGUUCGGAUUCAGCGGGUUAGAAAAUAGAUGGAUGGAUGGAAAUAAUGCAUAAAUUCAAACACAAAUGUUAUUGUAUCGCACUUCUAUGAUGAAUAAGCGACUCAUCAGUGAGAGAGUUCUUGUCUACCAGUAACGUUUCAGUUCAAACUUGAAAGAAGAAUCACAAUUGAAGUUAACGAGAAUCAUGAAUCAUGUGCUGCUUUGCAGUAAGGAGAUUGUGGGUUCACUUCCUGGGUCCUCCCUGAGUGGAAAAGCACUAUAUAAAUGUAAGAAGUAUUGUUAUUUAGAGAGUGCAGGCAGGAUGGAGUGGGUGGAGAAGAGUGUCAGGAGUGAUUUGUGACAGACAGGUAUCAGCAAGAGUGAAAGGGAAGGACGGUAGUGAGACCAGCUAUGUUAUAUGGGCUGAAGACGGUGGCACAGGAGACAGAGCUGGAGAUGGCAGAGUUAAAGAUGAUAAGAUUUGCAUUGGGUGUGACGAGGAUGGACAGGAUUAGAAAUGAGGACAUUAGAGGGUCAGCUCAGAUUGGACGGUUGGGAGACAAAUUCAGAGAGGCGAGAUUACGUUGGUGUGGACAUGUGCAGAGGAGAGAUGUUGGGUAUAUUGGGAGAAGGGUGCUAAGGAUAGAGCUGCCAGGCAAGAGGAGAAGAGGAAGGCCUAAGAGAAGGUUUAUGGAUGUGGUGAGAGAGGACAUGCAGGUGAUGGGUGUGACAGAGCAAGAUGACAAGGACAGGAAGAUAUGGAAAAAGAUGAUACGCUGUGGUAACCCCUAACAGGAACAGCCAA